AUUCUGUGAUGGGGGCAUCUUCAUAAUAGUUUUUUAAACUUUUCCCAUGCCUCAUACAAGAACUCUUCAUCCAUCUGUUGGAAGGUAGUGAUCUCGUUCCUCAACAU
This is a non-coding RNA of Gossypium hirsutum (cotton), 107 nucleotides long. Lineage: Eukaryota; Viridiplantae; Streptophyta; Magnoliopsida; Malvales; Malvaceae. The record is from Rfam.